UACGAAGGGUGCAAGCGUUAAUCGGAAUUACUGGGCGUAAAGCGCGCGUAGGUGGUUCGUUAAGUUGGAUGUGAAAGCCCCGGGCUCAACCUGGGAACUGCAUCCAAAACUGGCGAGCUAGAGUAUGGCAGAGGGUGGUGGAAUUUCCUGUGUAGCGGUGAAAUGCGUAGAUAUAGGAAGGAACACCAGUGGCGAAGGCGACCACCUGGGCUAAUACUGACACUGAGGUGCGAAAGCGUGGGGAGCAAAC
Molecule: ribosomal RNA, 250 nt
Filed under: uncultured bacterium
Lineage: Bacteria
Also listed under: 1 other name
Description: partial 16S ribosomal RNA
Rfam family: Bacterial small subunit ribosomal RNA
Source: RNAcentral